Molecule: ribosomal RNA, 253 nt
Filed under: uncultured bacterium
Lineage: Bacteria
Description: partial 16S ribosomal RNA
Rfam family: Bacterial small subunit ribosomal RNA
Source: RNAcentral
UACGAAGGGGGCUAGCGUUGCUCGGAAUUACUGGGCGUAAAGGGCGCGUAGGCGGAUAUUUAAGUUAGAGGUGAAAGCCCAGGGCUCAACCCUGGAAUAGCCUUUAAUACUGGAUAUCUUGAGUUCGGGAGAGGUGAGUGGAACUCCGAGUGUAGAGGUGAAAUUCGUAGAUAUUCGGAAGAACACCAGUGGCGAAGGCGACUUACUGGACACAUAUUGACGCUGAGGUGCGAAAGCGUGGGGAGCAAACAGG